UGAGAGAGGCUAGGGUGUGAGAGAGAGAGGCUGGGGUGUGAGAGAGAGAGAGAGGCUGGGGUGUGAGAGAGAGAGGAGGCUGUGGGUGUGAGAGAGAGAGAGGAGGCUGGGGUGUGAGAGAGAGAGAGAGGAGGCUAGGGUGUGAGAGAGAGAGAGGCUAGGGUGUGAGAGAGAGAGGAGGCUAGGGUGUGAGAGAGAGAGAGGCUAGGGUGUGAGAGAGAGAGGAGGCUAGGGUGUGAGAGAGAGAGGAGGCUAGGGUGAGAGAGAGAGGAGGCUAGGGUGUGAGAGAGAGAGGAGGCUAGGGUGUGAGAGAGAGAGGAGGCUAGGGUGUGAGAGAGAGAGAGGAGGCUAGGGUGUGAGAGAGAGAGGAGGCUAGGGUGUGAGAGAGAGAGGAGGCUAGGGUGUGAGAGAGAGAGGAGGCUAGGGUGUGAGAGAGAGGAGGCUAGGGUGUGAGAGAGAGGAGGCUAGGGUGUGAGAGAGAGAGGAGGCUAGGGUGUGAGAGAGAGGAGGCUAGGUGAGAGAGAGAGGAGGCUAGGGUGUGAGAGAGAGAGGAGGCUAGGGUGUGAGAGAGAGAGGAGGCUAGGGUGUGAGAGAGAGGAGGCUAGGGUGUGAGAGAGAGGGAGGCUAGGUGGGAGAGAGAGGAGGCUAGGUGGGAGAGAGAGGCGGCUAGGGUGGGAGAGAGAGGCGGCUAGGUGGGAGAGAGAGGCGGCUAGGUGGGAGAGAGAGGCGGCUAGGUGGGAGAGAGAGGCGGCUA
This is a long non-coding RNA of Oncorhynchus tshawytscha (Chinook salmon), 754 nucleotides long. The record is from Ensembl. Lineage: Eukaryota; Metazoa; Chordata; Actinopteri; Salmoniformes; Salmonidae.